GGGCCCGCACAAGCGGUGGAGCAUGUGGUUUAAUUCGAUGAUACGCGAGGAACCUUACCAGGACUUAAAUGUAAGUUGCAUGAUUCAGAAAUGAAUCUUUCUUCGGACUACUUACAAGGUGCUGCAUGGUUGUCGUCAGCUCGUGCCGUGAGGUGUCAGGUUAAGUCCUAUAACGAGCGCAACCCCUAUCGUUAGUUGCCAGCAAGUAAAGUUGGGUACUCUAACAAGACUGCCGGUGCAAACCGUGAGGAAGGUGGGGAUGACGUCAAAUCAUCACGGCCCUUACGUCCUGGGCUACACACGUGCUACAAUGGUCGGUACAGAGGGAAGCUACCCCGUAAGGGGAUG
This 348-nucleotide ribosomal RNA is filed under the name uncultured bacterium. Its description in RNAcentral is "bacterial SSU rRNA". It matches the Rfam family "Bacterial small subunit ribosomal RNA", at positions 917 to 1267 of the family's 1533-position model. The record is from RNAcentral.